This 525-nucleotide long non-coding RNA is filed under the name Cavia porcellus (domestic guinea pig). RNAcentral's name for it is "lncRNA (ENSCPOG00000037005.1)". The record is from RNAcentral. Lineage: Eukaryota; Metazoa; Chordata; Mammalia; Rodentia; Caviidae.
GGCUCUGGUUACUCAGUGGCUGAAAACAAGACAAAGAAGUGUGUCUUUUGCAGGAGCCAAGCUGAGGGCACACCCUGAGAAAGCCAGAAGUGAAGGACCAGAUGGAAGAAAUUUGAAACAAGUGGAGCAGGAAACUUGCCCGGAAUGGAAACAGUAAAGGUACUUAGGCCUCAGCUGGGAACUGUGCAUCCAGAGGCACAGAAGCUGUCAACCUAUCAUCCCCAGAGCUGUGAGACAGGGAAAACAGCAAGAGAUGAGAAGCACUGGGACAAGCAAGCCACUGUUGGGUGGGAUGCAUCUCCAUUUGUGUUGAUUUUUCAUCUUGUUUCCCAGCAGCUGCAUCACCUGUCUGAAGGUAGGAAUUGUGACCUCUUGGACUAUCAGCAGCUUCUGGGCUCUAGGUUGGCUAACAGCUGUUCCCUCUGCACAGGUCAGAGGAUGGAGAUGGCAAAUCAGUGUACCCUGACUGGUCCCUUCAGCUGGAGGGAUGAAGAGGCAAGGGUCAAGAUGCCACAGAGAAAGUGA